AUUGAACGCUGGCGGCAUGCUUUACACAUGCAAGUCGAACGGCAGCGCGGGCUUCGGCCUGGCGGCGAGUGGCGAACGGGUGAGUAAUGCAUCGGAACGUGCCCAGUAGUGGGGGAUAGCCCGGCGAAAGCCGGAUUAAUACCGCAUACGACCUGAGGGUGAAAGCGGGGGACCGAAAGGCCUCGCGCUAUUGGAGCGGCCGAUGUCGGAUUAGCUAGUUGGUGGGGUAAAGGCUUACCAAGGCGACGAUCCGUAGCUGGUCUGAGAGGACGACCAGCCACACUGGGACUGAGACACGGCCCAGACUCCUACGGGAGGCAGCAGUGGGGAAUUUUGGACAAUGGGGGCAACCCUGAUCCAGCCAUGCCGCGUGCGGGAAGAAGGCCUUCGGGAUGUAAACCGCUUUUGUUCGGGAAGAAAUCCUCUGGGCUAAUACCCCGGGGGGAUGACGGUACCGGAAGAAUAAGCACCGGCUAACUACGUG
RNAcentral lists this ribosomal RNA (484 nucleotides) under uncultured bacterium. RNAcentral describes it as "partial 16S ribosomal RNA". It matches the Rfam family "Bacterial small subunit ribosomal RNA", at positions 29 to 507 of the family's 1533-position model. The record is from RNAcentral.